GCCAAGACAAACAACUAGGCUCACCCUCAUAGUCAAAACAUAACUAAAAGGAAAAGUCUUAUACAUAGCAAAAGAUCAUAAGCAACGUCCCCGGAAUGGAGGACUCACCAAUAACCUUGAUAGGAAAUCGUAUUAGCCACACGGAGGAGGAUGGUCAAGCGGUGCUCCGGUCCCUACAUGGUGACAUCAUGUAGGCAUAGAGUAUGCGUUAGUACGUUUGAAUGUACUAAGUAUAUGGGAUGCAAUGCAAUGCAACAAGGGAUGGACAUCAUAGGCAAAAUGCAUAAUCGUACCCGAUAGAUAGCAUAUUAAUGAGAUGAUAUGUAUAAUGAUGCUUAUAUAAAAAUCAUAUUUAGUGGGACAUAGUACAUAUGUGGUGAGUGACCAUCAAUAUAGUAUUUCCAAGGCCUACCACCCCCUUGGAGAGGCGAAAGAGGUACAAACCCCUCAAUGUGGUUACCCGGGCCUACAACCCCCCGAGCUAGGCUUGGUCGACUCACACACUAUAUAGAGAAAAUCAUAUACAUGUAUCCAUUUCAUCAUCAUUUCAAUACUUAUAUAAUCAUCCGACUCAUAGGACGUACAUUGGACCUUCCAUUUCAUAAGAAUUCUAUAAAUGGCAUUUUAUCAAACAUAUGGUGGGCUACUUGUUCAUGUAAAUAAAAUCAUGUGUUUCAAGAGUACUAAGUCCAACAAAUUUCAAAAUCCAUGUAAAACAGCCCACCAACAACAUACAUAUAUAUAUACAUAUAUAACAACCUUCAUAAUUUGAUCAUGGAGGCAUGAAAACCAUAAACAUCAUAUAAUCAUUCCAUUUCAUGAUAAUAUACAAAAAUAGACCAUAAUAGGAUGUGUAGUAAUAAUUCCAUAAUUCAAGAGUUCAUAAAUGAUCAUAAGGACCCAUAAACUUGAAGUAAAAUAGAGGAUAAAUGGUUGGACUUGUGGAAAGGAAGGUUUCCACAAUCAACCCACAUACCUCAACUUUGGAGAAUUCUUGAUGAAGAUUGGAAUGGAGAAUUGCUUGAGAUUGAAUCUUGAAUCCGGAAUUAAAGUUUGGGAUCCUUGAAUUUGGUUGAUGAUCUUGGUGGAAUUUUU
RNAcentral lists this long non-coding RNA (1095 nucleotides) under Solanum tuberosum (potato). RNAcentral describes it as "long non-coding RNA (STUB_LNC009832)". Lineage: Eukaryota; Viridiplantae; Streptophyta; Magnoliopsida; Solanales; Solanaceae. The record is from RNAcentral.